AUCUUCAGGGCGGGGUGUGAUUCCCCACUGGCGGUAAAGUCCGCGACCUGCCAAGGCAGCCGAAUCGGUGAAACUCCGGUACCAACAGUAUAGUCUGGAUGAAAGAAGGUA
Molecule: non-coding RNA, 111 nt
Filed under: uncultured Catonella sp.
Lineage: Bacteria; Bacillati; Bacillota; Clostridia; Lachnospirales; Lachnospiraceae
Description: FMN riboswitch (RFN element)
Rfam family: FMN riboswitch aptamer (RFN element)
About the family: The RFN element is a highly conserved domain that is found frequently in the 5'-untranslated regions of prokaryotic mRNAs that encode for flavin mononucleotide (FMN) biosynthesis and transport proteins.
Source: RNAcentral